GGUGCAUGACGCGCUUGAUCGUCUCUUGCCUUGUGUGUCAACGCCAGUUCGCGAUCGAGGAAAACUCCAGGGUCAUGGUAGCUCGUCUACGGGUGAGUGAAUAGCCUUGGCAGAACUCAUUUGCGGACUGUUUCUUUCGUGUCUGGUUGCAGUGUCCUUGGCACUCUGGAAGCUCGUCUUGGCUUGCCACUGGCGGGGGACCUGGGUGACUUGGGCAUUUCCCUGACACAAAGACGAUGACUAAAUGGUUCUAUUCGACCCGUCUUGAAACACGGACCAAGGAGUCUAACAUAUGUGCGAGUCCACGGGUGGUAAACCUGCUGGCGCAGUGAAAGCGACUGCUGGGAUCUUUGCACCAGCAACCGACCAAUCAAUUGAGAGAGGUUUGAGUAUGAGCAUAUCUGUUAGGACCCGAAAGAUGGUGAACUAUGCCUGAGAAGGGCAAACUCAGGGGAAACUCUGAUGGAGGCUCGUAGCGAUACUGAC
Molecule: ribosomal RNA, 486 nt
Filed under: Prorocentrum cordatum
Lineage: Eukaryota; Dinophyceae; Prorocentrales; Prorocentraceae
Description: partial large subunit ribosomal RNA
Rfam family: Eukaryotic large subunit ribosomal RNA
Source: RNAcentral